GAUGAACGCUAGCUACAGGCUUAACACAUGCAAGUCGAGGGGUAGCAGGGUAGCAAUACCGCUGACGACCGGCGCACGGGUGAGUAACACGUAUCCAACCUUCCCAUCACUCGGGGAUAGCCUUUCGAAAGAAAGAUUAAUACCCGAUAGUACUUUUUUGAGGCAUCUUAAGAAAGUUAAAGAUUUAUUGGUGAUGGAUGGGGAUGCGUUCCAUUAGAUUGUUGGUGAGGUAACGGCUCACCAAGUCUUCGAUGGAUAGGGGUUCUGAGAGGAAGGUCCCCCACAUUGGUACUGAGACACGGACCAAACUCCUACGGGAGGCAGCAGUGAGGAAUAUUGGUCAAUGGGCGAGAGCCUGAACCAGCCAAGUAGCGUGAAGGAUGAAGGUCCUAUGGAUUGUAAACUUCUUUUAUAGUAGAAUAAAGUGGUCCACGUGUGGUAUUUUGUAUGUAUACUAUGAAUAAGAUCGGCUAACUCCGUGCCAGCAGCCGACGGUAAAAGUCACGUCG
This 509-nucleotide ribosomal RNA is filed under the name uncultured bacterium. Its description in RNAcentral is "bacterial SSU rRNA". It matches the Rfam family "Bacterial small subunit ribosomal RNA", at positions 28 to 536 of the family's 1533-position model. The record is from RNAcentral.